AGCCUGAACGCUGGCGGCGUGGCUAAGACAUGCAAGUCGCACGGACGUAGCAAUACGUUAGUGGCGCACGGGUGAGUAAAGUAUCGCUAAUGUACCCCGGACUCUGAGAUAGCUGCCCGAAAGGGCAGGUAACAUCAGAUGAUAUGACCUGUAAGCAUUUACGGGUUCUCAAAAGUCCGCUGGUCUGGGAGCAGGCGAUAUCGUAUCAGGUAGUUGGUAGGGUAACGGCCUACCAAGCCGACGACGCGCAGCUGGUCUGAGAGGACGGCCAGCCACAUCGGAACUGAGACACUGUCCGGACUCCUACGGGGGCUGCAGUAACGAAUCUUCCACAAUGUACGCAAGUACGAUAGGAG
This 356-nucleotide ribosomal RNA is filed under the name uncultured soil bacterium. RNAcentral describes it as "bacterial SSU rRNA". It matches the Rfam family "Bacterial small subunit ribosomal RNA", at positions 26 to 391 of the family's 1533-position model. The record is from RNAcentral.